CAAUAGCGUAUAUUAAAGUUGUUGCGGUUAAAAAGCUCGUAGUUGGAUUUCUGCUGAGAACGACCGGUCCGCCCUUUGGGUGUGUAUCUGGCUCUUUCUUGGCAUCUUCUUGGUGAACGUUGCUGCACUUGACUGUGUGGAGCGCUACCCAGGACUUUUACUUUGAGGAAAUUAGAGUGUUUCAAGCAGGCAUACGCCUUGAAUACAUUAGCAUGGAAUAAUAAGAUAGGACCUCGGUUCUAUUUUGUUGGUUUCUAGAGCUGAGGUAAUGAUUAAUAGGGAUAGUUGGGGGCAUUCGUAUUUAACUGUCAGAGCUGAAAUUCUUGGAUUUGUUAAAGACGGACUACUGCGAAAGCAUUUGCCAAGGAUGUUUUCAUUG
This 379-nucleotide ribosomal RNA is filed under the name uncultured eukaryote. RNAcentral's name for it is "partial 18S ribosomal RNA". It matches the Rfam family "Eukaryotic small subunit ribosomal RNA", at positions 592 to 975 of the family's 1831-position model. The record is from RNAcentral.